GGUCGGUUAGCUCAGUCGGCAGAGCGUCGUGCUAAUAACGCGAAUGUCAUGGGUUCGAGCCCCAUAUCGACCA
Molecule: transfer RNA, 73 nt
Filed under: Anneissia japonica
Lineage: Eukaryota; Metazoa; Echinodermata; Crinoidea; Comatulida; Comatulidae
Description: tRNA-Ile
Rfam family: tRNA
About the family: Transfer RNA (tRNA) molecules are approximately 80 nucleotides in length. Their secondary structure includes four short double-helical elements and three loops (D, anti-codon, and T loops).
Source: RNAcentral